UAGGGAAUCUUCGGCAAUGGACGAAAGUCUGACCGAGCAACGCCGCGUGAGUGAAGAAGGUUUUCGGAUCGUAAAACUCUGUUGUUAGAGAAGAACAAGGACGUUAGUAACUGAACGUCCCCUGACGGUAUCUAACCAGAAAGCCACGGCUAACUACGUGCCAGCAGCCGCGGUAAUACGUAGGUGGCAAGCGUUGUCCGGAUUUAUUGGGCGUAAAGCGAGCGCAGGCGGCUUCUUAAGUCUGAUGUGAAAGCCCCCGGCUCAACCGGGGAGGGUCAUUGGAAACUGGGAGACUUGAGUGCAGAAGAGGAGAGUGGAAUUCCAUGUGUAGCGGUGAAAUGCGUAGAUAUAUGGAGGAACACCAGUGGCGAAGGCGGCUCUCUGGUCUGUAACUGACGCUGAGGCUCGAAAGCGUGGGGAGCAAACAGG
This 429-nucleotide ribosomal RNA is filed under the name Gemmatimonadota bacterium. RNAcentral's name for it is "Gemmatimonadetes bacterium partial 16S ribosomal RNA". It matches the Rfam family "Bacterial small subunit ribosomal RNA", at positions 355 to 776 of the family's 1533-position model. The record is from RNAcentral. Lineage: Bacteria; Pseudomonadati; Gemmatimonadota.